GACGAACGCUGGCGGCGUGCUUAACACAUGCAAGUCGAACGGAAAGGCCCUGCUUUUGUGGGGUGCUCGAGUGGCGAACGGGUGAGUAACACGUGAGUAACCUGCCCUUGACUUUGGGAUAACUUCAGGAAACUGGGGCUAAUACCGGAUAGGUGCUCCUGCUGCAUGGUGGGGGUUGGAAAGUUUCGGCGGUUGGGGAUGGACUCGCGGCUUAUCAGCCUGUUGGUGGGGUAGUGGCUUACCAAGGCUUUGACGGGUAGCCGGCCUGAGAGGGUGACCGGCCACAUUGGGACUGAGAUACGGCCCAGACUCCUACGGGAGGCAGCAGUGGAGAAUAUUGCACAAUGGGCGGAAGCCUGAUGCAGCAACGCCGCGUGCGGGAUGACGGCCUUCGGGUUGUAAACCGCUUUCGCCUGUGACGAAGCGUGAGUGACGGUAAUGGGUAAAGAAGCACCGGCUAACUACGUG
This 468-nucleotide ribosomal RNA is filed under the name uncultured bacterium. RNAcentral's name for it is "partial 16S ribosomal RNA". It matches the Rfam family "Bacterial small subunit ribosomal RNA", at positions 28 to 507 of the family's 1533-position model. The record is from RNAcentral.